CCUGGGUCCACAAAUCAUUGCAUUGUUACAUUAGGGUACAAUAAAAUACAGAAAAUAUUAUUACACAAUAUAUACAAAAUUUAACAUAGAACAAGUAGGAAAUAUAUAAUCAACCAUACCAGGUGCAUUCUGUUUUGAGGUAUGUAGAGAGGGAUCUCUUAAAGGGCUUUAGGCUUAGGGAAGAUUUUAAAUUGUGCGGGAGGUCGUUCCACAAUUGCGGCGCUCUGUAGGAGGAGGAUCAGGCUGCCUUCUUUUUGUAUUGUAAGAUAAUGUGCAAGAUAGCAAAGUCAAAAUAAUAAAAAGGCUAAAGUAUAUAUAUCUUUUUCCACAGACUGAGCUCUUAUGAUCCUUGGCUCAUUUUCCCACGUUUUAAUUUACAAACAAGAAGGCCUACAUACGCAACGAGCAUUUGAAGAAGCACCCAUAUGUUGUGUAAGUUUCAUUAUCAAAAAUGUGAGCUGCCAGUGCUGUCGGAAAAUACCGAGCAAGGCAGCCGCAUGUUAAGUAAAAGAGAAUCCCCAAAAAUGACGCUAAGCAGGAGUGAUUUGUGUCGUAUUUUAAAAUGUUCUAACGAAGUGCUACUCUUCAACAGCUAUACUUGUGUGAUUGCAGAG
Pelobates cultripes (western spadefoot toad) is the source of this 614-nucleotide non-coding RNA. The record is from the annotation of a GenBank genome assembly. NCBI's taxonomy places the organism in Eukaryota, Metazoa, Chordata, Amphibia, Anura, Pelobatidae.